UCCUGGUGGCGAGUGGCGAACGGGUGAGUAAUAUAUCGGAACGUGCCCAGUCGUGGGGGAUAACGCAGCGAAAGCUGUGCUAAUACCGCAUACGAUCUCUGGAUGAAAGUGGGGGACCUGCAAGGGCCUCGCGCGAUUGGAGCGGCCGAUAUCAGAUUAGCUAGUUGGUGGGGUAAAGGCUCACCAAGGCGACGAUCUGUAGCUGGUCUGAGAGGACGACCAGCCACACUGGAACUGAGACACGGUCCAGACUCCUACGGGAGGCAGCAGUGGGGAAUUUUGGACAAUGGGCGCAAGCCUGAUCCAGCAAUGCCGCGUGCAGGAUGAAGGCCUUCGGGUUGUAAACUGCUUUUGUACGGAACGAAACGGCUCUUUUUAAUAAAGAGGGCUAAUGACGGUACCGUAAGAAUAAGCACCGGCUAACUACGUGCCAGCAGCCGCGGUAAUACGUAGGGUGCGAGCGUUAAUCGGAAUUACUGGGCGUAAAGCGUGCGCAGGCGGUUUUGUAAGACAGAUGUGAAAUCCCCGGGCUCAACCUGGGACCUGCAUUUGUGACUGCAAGGCUAGAGUACGGUAGAGGGGGAUGGAAUUCCGCGUGUAGCAGUGAAAUGCGUAGAUAUGCGGAGGAACACCGAUGGCGAAGGCAAUCCCCUGGACCUGUACUGACGCUCAUGCACGAAAGCGUGGGGAGCAAACAGGAUUAGAUACCCUGGUAGUCCACGCCCUAAACGAUGUCAACUGGUUGUUGGGUCUUUACUGACUCAGUAACGAAGCUAACGCG
RNAcentral lists this ribosomal RNA (781 nucleotides) under uncultured bacterium. Its description in RNAcentral is "bacterial SSU rRNA". It matches the Rfam family "Bacterial small subunit ribosomal RNA", at positions 83 to 859 of the family's 1533-position model. The record is from RNAcentral.